Molecule: ribosomal RNA, 185 nt
Filed under: uncultured bacterium
Lineage: Bacteria
Description: partial 16S ribosomal RNA
Rfam family: Bacterial small subunit ribosomal RNA
Source: RNAcentral
GAGGUGAAAGGCUACGGCUCAACCGUAGUAAGCCUUUGAAACUGGGAAACUUGAGUGCAGGAGAGGGCGGUGGAACUCCAUGUGUAGCGGUAAAAUGCGUAGAUAUAUGGAAGAACACCAGUGGCGAAGGCGGCCGCCUGGCCUGUUGCUGACGCUGAGGCACGAAAGCGUGGGGAGCAAAUAGG